This 251-nucleotide ribosomal RNA is filed under the name uncultured bacterium. Its description in RNAcentral is "partial 16S ribosomal RNA". It matches the Rfam family "Bacterial small subunit ribosomal RNA", at positions 337 to 580 of the family's 1533-position model. The record is from RNAcentral.
UCCUACGGGGGGCAGCAGUAGGGAAUCUUCCACAAUGGACGAAAGUCUGAUGGAGCAACGCCGCGUGAGUGAAGAAGGGUUUCGGCUCGUAAAGCUCUUUUGGUAGUGAAGAAAGAUAGAGGGAGUAACUGGCCUUUAUUUGACGGUAAUUACUUAGAAAGUCACGGCUAACUACGUGCCAGCAGCCGCGGUAAUACGUAGGUGGCAAGCGUUGUCCGGAUUUAUUGGGCGUAAAGCGAGUGCAGGCGGUU